GACGAACGCUGGCGGCGUGCUUAACACAUGCAAGUCGAACGGAAAGGCCCUUCGGGGUACUCGAGUGGCGAACGGGUGAGUAACACGUGGGUGAUCUGCCCUGCACUUUGGGAUAAGCCUGGGAAACUGGGUCUAAUACCGAAUAGGACCACGCGCUUCAUGGUGUGUGGUGGAAAGCUUUUGCGGUGUGGGAUGGGCCCGCGGCCUAUCAGCUUGUUGGUGGGGUAUUGGCCUACCAAGGCGACGACGGGUAGCCGGCCUGGGAGGGUGACCGGCCACACUGGGACUGAGAUACGGCCCAGACUCCUACGGGAGGCAGCAGUGGGGAAUAUUGCACAAUGGGCGCAAGCCUGAUGCAGCGACGCCGCGUGAGGGAUGACGGCCUUCGGGUUGUAAACCUCUUUCAAUAGGGACGAAGCGCAAGUGACGGUACCUAUAGAAGAAGCACCGGCCAACUACGUG
This 462-nucleotide ribosomal RNA is filed under the name uncultured bacterium. Its description in RNAcentral is "partial 16S ribosomal RNA". It matches the Rfam family "Bacterial small subunit ribosomal RNA", at positions 28 to 507 of the family's 1533-position model. The record is from RNAcentral.